Molecule: long non-coding RNA, 319 nt
Organism: Xenia sp. Carnegie-2017
Lineage: Eukaryota; Metazoa; Cnidaria; Anthozoa; Malacalcyonacea; Xeniidae
Exons: 2
Source: RefSeq, a predicted model, not a curated record
UUGGACACCGAAUCACCGUAUAUCCACAAGAUACUUUUGGCAUCACGAGGACUAAUUUGUUGUGACAAACUCAAGUCUGUAAUUAAACUAUAUGAAUGGAAGUUCACUUAAUUGCUACACAACCACGUAUCUAUUUAUGGAACAAAGAAUCUUACCAAAAACGUUGGUGGAAUAAUUUGGUUUUGCAACGUUAAUGAGAAUCGGUUUUCCAUUUUCCAAGGCUUUCAUUAAAUACGGGUGAUCUCCGUUUAAGGCGCCAUCUGCCUGGUUUUUUCCUUGAGAGCUUCCUGCAUAUUGAAAUAAAGCAUUCCAAUCUCAA